This 739-nucleotide ribosomal RNA is filed under the name Micrococcus sp. REICA_103. RNAcentral describes it as "bacterial SSU rRNA". It matches the Rfam family "Bacterial small subunit ribosomal RNA", at positions 608 to 1344 of the family's 1533-position model. The record is from RNAcentral. Lineage: Bacteria; Bacillati; Actinomycetota; Actinomycetes; Micrococcales; Micrococcaceae.
UUAACCCCGGGAUUUGCGGUGGGUACGGGCAGACUAGAGUGCAGUAGGGGAGACUGGAAUUCCUGGUGUAGCGGUGGAAUGCGCAGAUAUCAGGAGGAACACCGAUGGCGAAGGCAGGUCUCUGGGCUGUAACUGACGCUGAGGAGCGAAAGCAUGGGGAGCGAACAGGAUUAGAUACCCUGGUAGUCCAUGCCGUAAACGUUGGGCACUAGGUGUGGGGACCAUUCCACGGUUUCCGCGCCGCAGCUAACGCAUUAAGUGCCCCGCCUGGGGAGUACGGCCGCAAGGCUAAAACUCAAAGGAAUUGACGGGGGCCCGCACAAGCGGCGGAGCAUGCGGAUUAAUUCGAUGCAACGCGAAGAACCUUACCAAGGCUUGACAUGUUCUCGAUCGCCGUAGAGAUACGGUUUCCCCUUUGGGGCGGGUUCACAGGUGGUGCAUGGUUGUCGUCAGCUCGUGUCGUGAGAUGUUGGGUUAAGUCCCGCAACGAGCGCAACCCUCGUUCCAUGUUGCCAGCACGUAAUGGUGGGGACUCAUGGGAGACUGCCGGGGUCAACUCGGAGGAAGGUGAGGACGACGUCAAAUCAUCAUGCCCCUUAUGUCUUGGGCUUCACGCAUGCUACAAUGGCCGGUACAAUGGGUUGCGAUACUGUGAGGUGGAGCUAAUCCCAAAAAGCCGGUCUCAGUUCGGAUUGGGGUCUGCAACUCGACCCCAUGAAGUCGGAGUCGCUAGUAAUCG